This 484-nucleotide ribosomal RNA is filed under the name uncultured bacterium. Its description in RNAcentral is "bacterial SSU rRNA". It matches the Rfam family "Bacterial small subunit ribosomal RNA", at positions 30 to 502 of the family's 1533-position model. The record is from RNAcentral.
AUUGAACGCUGGCGGCAUGCCUUACACAUGCAAGUCGAACGGCAGCAUGGGUGCUUGCACCUGAUGGCGAGUGGCGAACGGGUGAGUAAUGCAUCGGAACGUACCCGGAAGUGGGGGAUAACGUAGCGAAAGUUACGCUAAUACCGCAUAUUCUGUGAGCAGGAAAGCGGGGGAUCGCAAGACCUCGCGCUUCCGGAGCGGCCGAUGUCGGAUUAGCUAGUUGGCGGGGUAAAGGCCCACCAAGGCAACGAUCCGUAGCGGGUCUGAGAGGAUGAUCCGCCACACUGGGACUGAGACACGGCCCAGACUCCUACGGGAGGCAGCAGUGGGGAAUUUUGGACAAUGGGCGCAAGCCUGAUCCAGCCAUGCCGCGUGAGUGAAGAAGGCCUUCGGGUUCGUAAGACUCUUUCGGCUGGGAAGAAAUACGCAUCUCCUAAUACGGGGUGUGGAUGACGGUACCUAGCAUAAGAAGCACCGGCUAACU